This is a long non-coding RNA of Aegilops tauschii subsp. strangulata, 3467 nucleotides long. RefSeq lists it as uncharacterized. NCBI's taxonomy places the organism in Eukaryota, Viridiplantae, Streptophyta, Magnoliopsida, Poales, Poaceae. The record is from RefSeq and is a predicted model, not a curated record.
AUCAUCCGACUGUUUUGUAACAUUUUCCAUUUCUUUAGCAGUGAUUGGAAUAGGUGCCGUGUAAUAAUGGUAUAUUGGAGAAGGGAUAGAAACGGUGCCACCCACGGACUCGGCGUAGGCGCGCACCCGUCCCUGCCCCGCCCGCAGUAUAUACAGUCCGACCCCGGGCCGGUUCCCCAUACCCUGUUCCAUUCCCCAUCUCAGAAAGCCCAAAUCCUCACAUCCUAACCCUAGCUCCAUGCGAUCCCUCACUGCCCUGAUCCCCGCCGCCGUCGAUGUUGUUGGACCCAUCACUCGCGGGGCCCUCAGAGGCCGCCAGGCCGUCGGCCUCCCCCCAAAGGAGUCGGAGCCCUCUGGCGCCAGGGGGGCGCUGCCAUCGCCGCGCCAGGGGCCGCCCACGACACAAGCGUGCUAUGGGUCGACAACUUGCCCGCACACGCGGGCGGGGACAACGUCAUGGCGGCCUUUGCCCUGCACGAGGCGCUCGAAUGCGUCGUCACACACGCCGUCUUCUGCAGCUACGCGUUUGUCCUGUUCUGCUCCGUGGCCGAUUCUCGAGCCGCCCUCGAGGCGCUCUGCGGGUCCAAGGUCAAGGGCGCGUUCAUCAGGGUCGAGUUCGCCCAGCAGAUAACUUCUUACCCCCUCCUUCUCUACCCGCCAUUCGGAUCCGCUCCCACCUUGGAACCCCUCGGGAUCUGGCUGUAGUUCGCGAUGUGAAUUUUCCAAUAAUUAGGACUUCGGUGCUUGUGAUUUACGUUUUAUUUAGGCGGUGUGGGUGAGGCCUCCAGCGGCUCUGAUAUAUGUAAUUAUUCGAGCGGUGGCACACCGGAUCAGCGGUGACGGGGUGGUCUGGCGGAGGCUCGCAGGUGGUUGGGGAGCGCGGCGGGCGCGGCCCUUGUGUCAGGCUGGCAAUCGGGUUGGGUUUCAAUAGGCCGAACUCUGCCAAACCCAUGCCCGAAUAACUAAUCAGUUCAACCUACGACCCAACCCAUGGGUCUCAUGGACGACCCAUGCGCACACCCGAUGGAUGACCCGACCGAUUCGAGCACCCAUCAGGUCCAUGAAAAAAUUUCCAUUUGUUACUCCACCUAGCAUGCAACCACUUCAAAUAAAAUCGGUGUCUACCUGCUAGUUUUAUAGUCAUGUCGAUGCCUCCUUCCCCAGUAGUAAGCCAAGGCGGUACUAAACAUUACAAGGGAACGGUGCCCUGUCUGUUGUAGGCCGCAGCUAAUAUAGCGACGCUUAAGCACUGAGAAAUGAAAAAACGCUUCGCUUUGGCCCUAAGUGGUAGAUUAAGCGUAUUUGAAAUUCUUGGCCAUAAUUUGGCUAUUUUUGAACUGCUUCUGCUUAGCUUCUUGUGCAAUAAUGGCAGUAUGUCAUUUAUGUUAUUAUUAGGGUCUGUACGGGAGUUGUUUCCUUCAGAUUCUGGCGAAAUCAUGGAAAGAUGAUCUGCAUUUGGCUAUGUCUAUUGGAACUGAACUACAUAUUAGUUGCCAUUUGCUUGCUGUGUGAACCUGAUGUGUAUUUGCUAUGUUGUGAAGGUCAUUUUAGAUGCUACUUCAACUACCCGUGUGCAAUGUUUCCUAUUUUCCUGUGCAUACUAUUCAAAACAGUCAAAUUCUGGCCAAGUUUGAAAAAAUGCUCAAGCGCACUUAAGCGCCCAUUGCUCUAUGUUGUGGCCUUCCACUUUUUUGAACAUUAUCCUUUAUUAGUAGGUAUAGAAAUACUCCUAGAUUGGUGAUUGUUCCUUGUUCUAGGGUGAAAUUGCUAUGCUGGUGUUGUGUAAAGAUUUAUGCCCUCUUGAUGUUUACUUGUGUCUGUUGAUUGGUUUUUACAAGCUAGAGCUACUAGGAACCUAUGGGUUGGAGGAAUUAGUCCGUCUAUCUCAAAGUAGGAGGCAGAGGAGGAGUUUCAAAAGUUUGGAAAGAUUGAAGGUGUUGGAUGCUCCCACGAUCAAACUUCUACAUACAUGGACUUUGAGAAGCUGUAAGAUGCCAUUUCUGCCCAUAGAGCCUUCAAUGGGACAGAUUUAGGGGGCAAGGAAUUUUGUGUUGAUUUCCAGAGGUCCUGAGGAAGAGCGGAACAGUUGGAAGCAGGUUACUUCAACAGUAGAGGAUCAUUGCCACCCGGUGAAAUGGGAGUUGAACAUGCAAAGGUUCUGCUGGAGUAUGAACGAGAGAGGUAAAAAUUCCUACCAAUGUUCUCUGGGUGGGUUUACCCAAUACACAUAAAGUUGACGAGGAGGCACUAAGGCGGGCUAUGGCAGCACAUGGUGUGGUUACAAACAUCAAAGUUUUUCCAGAAAGGCAGUAUGCUUUUGUGGAGUUUGCAACCAUUGAAGGAGCUUCUAGUGCUAAGAAUCUUCUAGAUGGGUGUCUUUUCAAUAAUACAAGGAUUCAUGUUCUUUAAUCUAGCAGUGGGCUUGAUAACCUAACACCGCUUCUUGGGUUCCUAUAUCAAAGAUGUAUAAUGAUAGGCCACAUGCCGCACGUUAUUAUUUAGGUGCUGGUUGCAGUAGUCAUGGCUCGUCACAAGGGUAUGACCCUCGACGUGGAAGAGCAAGAUACUUGGACUAUGGUGCAAUGCCAAUCACUGCUUGUAUCCUUCCGGCACCUGAAGCUGGCUCAUCUUUGUUGUCUGGACAUUCUGCUCAUAGUGCGCUUGAUCCGAGAGAAGCCAAAAGGGAGAGGCUCGAUGCUGGCAUCGACCCUUACCAUGUAAGGGAAGGCACUGAGGGUCUUCAACCGGGUCAGGGAGCUUUUUUUGUAACCUUGAUCUUUAGCGAAUCGUUUUCUAUCACUUAUGGAUUGUUUUUUCCGGACCUUUAGCAAAUUGUUUCCCAGAUUGGGGAACAAGGGUCAGGUCGGGCAGCUCUUUUUUUCCUCAGAUCUUUAGUGAAUCGUUUUCUACCACUAAUGGAUGGCAGUGGUGGGUAAUUGUGUGCAACUUCAGGGGCAAAGUCAGGAUGAACAGGCAGAAGCACAAAUCCAUUUAUCAGUGUUCAAAAAAGUGUUGUGGUAGUGAAGUAUAUUGUGGUCAUUUGUGUUGUGGUAGAGACACUUUCUUUUAUUAGGGUCGGGACGGGCGGGCAGAAGCAUAAACUACAGAUACAUAAACUUAUGAUGAUUUGUGUUGUGGUAGAGACACUUUCUUUUAUUAGGGUCAUUUACAUUAUUUCUAUUUGUGGUAGUGAAGUAUAUUAUGGAGAUAUUGUAUGCAUUCCUUCAUCUGAGACGUUUUUAAGAGGGAAAGUUAUUACUAACCAACUCCUUGAAUUAAAUUAAAAGGUGUAUAUGAAAGCCAUGUUUUUGCGAUUAUUUUUCUCAAGGUGGCAUAAUCAUAUGGCCCACCCACACGGCAAAGCCAUCCCUGCCCCACUCACAACAUAUACUAGAUGCAUACAAUAUCUAGUAACUAUGGUAUGCUCUGUUUUAAGUUUGAAUGAUGUACUAAUAAGGAAUGAUGUA